CCUACGGGAGGCUGCAGUGGGGAAUAUUGGACAAUGGGCGAAAGCCUGAUCCAGCCAUGCCGCGUGUGUGAAGAAGGCCUUCGGGUUGUAAAGCACUUUCAGUGGGGAAGAAAGCCUUGGGGCUAAUACCCUCGAGGAAGGACAUCACCCACAGAAGAAGCACCGGCUAACUCCGUGCCAGCAGCCGCGGUAAUACGGAGGGUGCGAGCGUUAAUCGGAAUUACUGGGCGUAAAGCGCGCGUAGGCGGUCUGAUAAGCCGGUUGUGAAAGCCCCGGGCUCAACCUGGGAACGGCAUCCGGAGGGGUAGGGGGGGGGGGGAGGAGAGGAGGGGAGAAGCCCGGGGGGAGGGGGAAAUGGCGGAGAGACGGGGAGGAAGACGAGUGGAGAGGGCGGCCUUAUGGACUGCCAGUGACCCUGGGGGGCAAAAUCGUGGGUAGAAACCAGAUUAAGAGACCAUGGAAGCC
RNAcentral lists this ribosomal RNA (465 nucleotides) under Vreelandella stevensii. RNAcentral describes it as "partial 16S ribosomal RNA". It matches the Rfam family "Bacterial small subunit ribosomal RNA", at positions 338 to 795 of the family's 1533-position model. The record is from RNAcentral. Lineage: Bacteria; Pseudomonadati; Pseudomonadota; Gammaproteobacteria; Oceanospirillales; Halomonadaceae.